ACACCCGAGGAGUAGGAGACGAGGGAGCAGGUCAUCCGCGAGCUCAAGAAGAUUGUGACGGAUUGGGCCAAGGCGGUGGCGUGUGAGGAGAGGGUUCCCCCGAGGCGAGGGACGGCUGCGGUCCUGACCUAUGGUUCUUACACGUUAGGGGGUUUGGACAUCAAUGCUAUAUUUCUCAAUUUUGUGGCUUUCGUACCAUUCUCAUUGGGAAUGAUUGUCCUGUGUGAUCUAUCAUGGUUAUUCUCUUCAGCAUCCAGUCCUAUGCUAGCAAGAGUGAUGACACAAGUGGAUAUGCCAAGCAAAUAUGUCCUGCUUGGAUCAUAUAUGCUUCUGUAACAACACUGAUUCAGAUUGAUACCUCCUGUUAAUUGGCUGGUGGCAGUGGCGACGCAUCAAGGUGCAAGGUAGCGGCAGCAAGUUCAUACUACGGGAAAGGAAGAUCUCCUACUAUUUUUUAUGCUCCAUGACAUAGAUAUUUGAUUAAGUCAAAGGCAACAGGACUAUCUGAUAUGUUAUCGACGUCUAAAACCCAUCUUAAGUUUUGUAUCUUAUUGAUUCUGUCAUUUACUCUGGUAAAAAGUGUUAAUGAUGGAGAAAUGGGUGAGUUAAAUAAUGCAAACCAGCAAACAAAAUGUUGU
Molecule: long non-coding RNA, 638 nt
Organism: Triticum aestivum (bread wheat)
Lineage: Eukaryota; Viridiplantae; Streptophyta; Magnoliopsida; Poales; Poaceae
Exons: 5
Source: RefSeq, a predicted model, not a curated record